UGUGUGCCGUAUAUGAAAUCGCUAUGGAUGCGAAAACGUUAAAACAUUGAUAGCGCAACCAGCAAUUUUGCGUGAGUUGCUUGCUGGCACUGCCUAAAUUUUAAUGCGGCUUUCAUAUCGUCUGGCGCAGUGUGCGUUAUGAUUAACGAGCCAAACUCCGAUGGAGUAUUAUUUCGCAAUUGUUGUAGCCUAAAAUUACCCGCAUGCGCCUCCUGCCGUGUACCCAACUGGACACGCGCCUUCCAGUCAUCCCAGUCUCCUUUUCGUCAAAGCAACCGUGGAUUGCAGUUAAAGGGCGCUCAUUUCCAAGAUCCACACAUGCGGACAUCCCGACAGUGGGAGAUCGAAAAAAUCAAUGGCCCAGCCCCGCUUGCGAGCACGUUGGCGUUGUGGACGCUGCCAGACAGUCGUUUUCCUGCACAAAACACAUACAGCCGCACACACUCCCCGGGAUGUGUACGGGCCAGGGCAGCUUCCGGUGACGUCAAGGAUACAUCAUAUACACUUCCCAACAGCAGCGCCCAGACUGCGCUCUCCUUAGCUCGCCCUUCUGCGGUGUACAGUGAACCGGGAUUUACUGUUCACUGGACAGGAAUAAUUCACGAUAAUACCACCACAUCGGAAGCCAUCUGCCGAUGAUUUUCUUUAAUCUUCCUCUGUACACUCCCGACCACAACAAGGAACAGAUUUGCAAUGCAACAGCGAAAAGGGAGAAUUUGGACAAAAUCUCGGUCACACUUGACUGUUUACGUUAGGAGAAAUUGGCAAAAACGGCAACUGGCCAUAACAGAGUCAACACCACUGACACGACCGGCCAGAUCCGGCUAAAAAUACGCAUUUCACAAAUGCAGCGUGAAACAUGCUGGAAAACUUGUCAAGAAAACAAGAUUAAUCCCUUCGAUUCACUGCGGACCGAUCGCCCAACAGCGCCAACUGGUCCAACAGACCGAAUCGCAAAUUACCGCGCAACCUGUAGUCUACCGCUGGCUGGUAGCGCAAAACGCCCAUCCACCACAGGGAAAGGAUAAACAACAACAAUUCAACGUCUCCCUCACCUGAUAAAGCCUUGAUACGGAUCCGUUCGAAGACUUUGGCCGAGCUAAGUCCCCCGUCAUAAUCCUCACCGUCCGCGCCACCACUGACACUACUGGUUACAACGGUGUGUGUGGUGGUUAUCUGGGUGACGCCAUCACCAGCCCAGUGGCUGGGAUUGACGAGAUCCGUGGUCAUCCUCGCACCAUGCAGGGAAAUACACGAUUAACGAUUAUCCACAAAUUAACAAUCCGGUACAACAAAUCCCCGAGAAAAAUGCGCCUGCUAUCACCGUGGAGUGUGGCGUGAGUGUGGAAUGGUGGUCUGUGUCUGCCUGAAUGGAAAGAGAGAGUGCAUUAGCUUGAAAAACAUUCGCCAGGCCAGUGCGUGCGUAGCCCCAGCCGCUGUCAGACAGACUGCGCAAGAGACACAGAGAAAGAGCAAAAGGCGGAGUCAGCGCUGCAGACAGGAUUACCGAAUCGCCAAUCAAAAUUAGGAUGUCGCUCCAAUGUAACCAAUGGAAAACCGCCGGCCAGUAAAUUACGCCCAGUCCAUUUGGGUAAGGUCUGUCAUAUCAAAGGGAUCGGCAAAUACAAUGGAAGCGGGGCAGUGUGGCUGUAAUAAUAAAUCGCCUGGGUAUGAUUAUCCGCGCAUAGUCGUGUGGUGGUCAAAAUUUAGAAUAUGGCCGGAUGAUGGCGCAUCAGCAGUAAGCAACAUUUGCAGACAGAUACGGACACCGCAGCCGCUGCUAUCGAUUGAGGCGGUUGCGUGCUAAAACUAGGCACACACACUACACUCACUGGCAGAAGUGGAAUUUUUGAAUGCAGACGCGAAUGGAGGAGCUGCAUCCGCCUUGGGUAAUGCAAUACACACUCUGGCACAACCAGCAGCAGCAGCCGGCCUGUUUAUACGGCUGAGAAAACUGCUCGACCGGUUCACAGAGAGUAGGACAGUGCGAAUAACUUCCCGUCGAGCGUCAUCAAUGAACAGCGCGGCAACCAUUACACUUUCAUGAUUUUCAUCAAUCGUGGGCUAUGGAGUACGUAUCUGUACAGUGCACGUUUAGCUGUUUCGCUAGCAAAUCUUUUGGCUUAUUUUGGCACUGUGGUGUAGAUCGUCGCGGUCAGAUAAGCCGGGCGGUGGGUGCGCUUAGGAAGCACAGCUGUGCCGUUCUGCGAGGCUGUGCGAGCGGAGGGUAAAGUACGGCCGUGUAUUGUACCGGUGUACGGACGGCUAAAUGCGUAAUUUGAUCCAGUUGUUAUUUUUCAAGACACUGAUUCUAUCGCAGUUGUAGUGGUGCAGAUGAAUUAAAAAUACGCUGCUGUGUUGCAG
This is a long non-coding RNA of Paramacrobiotus metropolitanus, 2364 nucleotides long. RefSeq lists it as uncharacterized. The record is from RefSeq and is a predicted model, not a curated record. NCBI's taxonomy places the organism in Eukaryota, Metazoa, Tardigrada, Eutardigrada, Parachela, Macrobiotidae. The transcript has 3 exons.